AAAUAAUUAUAAAAACUCAUAUUCAAAUAAAAUAUUUUUUCAGUUGAAAUUUUUUUUUUUUGAGAGAUAGGUAGCACGCUAUCCGUUUCGUUUAUUUUAUUUAAAAAUAAAAUUAGCUGAAAAUAUGAAUCAACUAGAAUUCGAAUUUGGAUCUCGGGUACCAACCACCAAGCCCUUUGUUACUUGUUCUAGGGACGGUCGGUAAAAAUUUUAUAUUUUACGAAUCGUAUCUAUGCGUAAACUGGAAUAUUUUUUAUUGGCUAAAAUGAUAUAAAAUUC
RNAcentral lists this long non-coding RNA (279 nucleotides) under Ananas comosus (pineapple). RNAcentral describes it as "long non-coding RNA (ACOM_LNC011469)". Lineage: Eukaryota; Viridiplantae; Streptophyta; Magnoliopsida; Poales; Bromeliaceae. The record is from RNAcentral.